AUCCAGCUGACGAUUCCCAAAUAGGACGAAACGCGCAUUCUGGAU
RNAcentral lists this non-coding RNA (45 nucleotides) under Schistosoma haematobium. Lineage: Eukaryota; Metazoa; Platyhelminthes; Trematoda; Strigeidida; Schistosomatidae. The record is from RNAcentral.